This is an unclassified non-coding RNA of Ursus americanus (American black bear), 310 nucleotides long. Its record names the gene 7SK. It matches the Rfam family "7SK RNA". Rfam says of the family: 7SK was discovered as an abundant small nuclear RNA in the mid-70s but a possible function has only recently been suggested. Two independent studies have found that 7SK RNA binds the CDK9/cyclin T complex (known as elongation factor P-TEFb). Lineage: Eukaryota; Metazoa; Chordata; Mammalia; Carnivora; Ursidae. The record is from Ensembl.
GGAUGUGAGGGCCAUCUGGCUGCGACAUCUGUCACCCCAUUGAUCGCCAGGGUUGGUUCCGCUGAUCUGGCUGGCUAGGCGGGUGUCCCCUUCCUCCUCACCGCUCCACGUGCGUCCCUCCCGAAGCUGCGCGCUGGGUGGAAGAGGAUGACCUUCCCGGAUAGAGGUGGACUGUUCUUCCGUCAAGGGUAUAAGAGUAGCUGCGCUCCCCUGCUAGAACCUCCAAACAAGCUCUCAGGGUCCUAUGUAUGUUUUGCUGUGCAGAUUUAAAAACAAAACAAAACAAAACUGAAUUUGAUUAAUUUUCUUU